This 423-nucleotide ribosomal RNA is filed under the name uncultured bacterium. Its description in RNAcentral is "bacterial SSU rRNA". It matches the Rfam family "Bacterial small subunit ribosomal RNA", at positions 358 to 773 of the family's 1533-position model. The record is from RNAcentral.
GGAAUAUUGGACAAUGGGGGCAACCCUGAUCCAGCCAUGCCGCGUGUGUGAAGAAGGCCUUCGGGUUGUAAAGCACUUUUGUUGGGGAAGAAAAGCACUGGGUUAAUACCCUGGUGUCAUGACGGUACCCAAAGAAUAAGCACCGGCUACCUUCGUUCCAGCAUCACCGGUAAUACGAAGGGUGCAAGCGUUACUCGGAAUUACUGGGCGUAAAGCGUGCGUAGGCGGUUUGUUAAGUCUGUCGUGAAAGCCCCGGGCUCAACCUGGGAAUGGCGAUGGAUACUGGCGAGCUAGAGUACGGUAGAGGAGAGUGGAAUUCCCGGUGUAGCAGUGAAAUGCGCAGAGAUCGGGAGGAACAUCAGUUGCGAAGGCGGCUCUCUGGACCAGUACUGACGCUGAGGCACGAAAGCGUGGGGAGCAAAC